UACGGGGGGGGUAAGCGUUGUUCGGAAUUACUGGGCGUAAAGGGCUCGUAGGCGGCCAACUAAGUCAGACGUGAAAUCCCUCAGCUUAACUGGGGAACUGCGUCUGAUACUGGAUGGCUUGAGUGCAGGAGAGGAAUGCGGAAUUCCAGGUGUAGCGGUGAAAUGCGUAGAUAUCUGGAGGAACACCGGUGGCGAAGGCGGCAUUCUGGACUGUAACUGACACUGAGGAACGAAAGCCAGGGGAGCAAACGGG
Molecule: ribosomal RNA, 253 nt
Filed under: uncultured bacterium
Lineage: Bacteria
Description: partial 16S ribosomal RNA
Rfam family: Bacterial small subunit ribosomal RNA
Source: RNAcentral